GGCGCCCUGUGCGCCUGAUGCUCCGCCGCGUGACUAUCCCGUUAUGCAUAUCCUGUGUGCGCUCUAGAUCCAUCGGGGC
This 79-nucleotide small nucleolar RNA is filed under the name Trypanosoma cruzi strain CL Brener. RNAcentral describes it as "Small nucleolar RNA TBR17". It matches the Rfam family "Small nucleolar RNA TBR17", at positions 1 to 79 of the family's 119-position model. From Rfam's summary of the family: TBR17 is a member of the C/D class of snoRNA which contain the C (UGAUGA) and D (CUGA) box motifs. Lineage: Eukaryota; Euglenozoa; Kinetoplastea; Trypanosomatida; Trypanosomatidae. The record is from Rfam by way of RNAcentral.